RNAcentral lists this ribosomal RNA (253 nucleotides) under uncultured bacterium. RNAcentral describes it as "partial 16S ribosomal RNA". It matches the Rfam family "Bacterial small subunit ribosomal RNA", at positions 524 to 776 of the family's 1533-position model. The record is from RNAcentral.
UACGAAGGGGGCUAGCGUUGCUCGGAAUUACUGGGCGUAAAGGGUGCGUAGGCGGUUCGUUAAGUCUGUUGUGAAAUCCCCGGGCUCAACCUGGGAAUGGCAAUGGAUACUGGCGGGCUAGAGUGUGUCAGAGGAUGGUGGAAUUCCCGGUGUAGCGGUGAAAUGCGUAGAGAUCGGGAGGAACAUCAGUGGCGAAGGCGGCCAUCUGGGACAACACUGACGCUGAAGCACGAAAGCGUGGGGAGCAAACAGG